This 332-nucleotide ribosomal RNA is filed under the name uncultured bacterium. Its description in RNAcentral is "bacterial SSU rRNA". It matches the Rfam family "Bacterial small subunit ribosomal RNA", at positions 568 to 898 of the family's 1533-position model. The record is from RNAcentral.
CGUGUAGGCGGUCGGGUAAGUCAGAUGUGAAAGCCUUCUGCUUAACAGAAGAAGUGCAUUUGAAACUGCUCGGCUAGAGUACGGGAGAGGAGAGUGGAAUUCCCGGUGUAGAGGUGAAAUUCGUAGAUAUCGGGAGGAACACCAGUGGCGAAGGCGGCUCUCUGGUCCGAUACUGACGCUGAGACGCGAAAGCGUGGGGAGCAAACAGGAUUAGAUACCCUGGUAGUCCACGCCGUAAACGAUGGGCACUAGGUGUAGGAGGUAUUGACCCCUUCUGUGCCGAAGCUAACGCAUUAAGUGCCCCGCCUGGGGAGUACGGCCGCAAGGCUAAA